GACGAACGCUGGCGGCGUGCCUAAUACAUGCAAGUAGAACGCUGAAGGAGGAGCUUGCUUCUCCGGAUGAGUUGCGAACGGGUGAGUAACGCGUAGGUAACCUGCCUGGUAGCGGGGGAUAACUAUUGGAAACGAUAGCUAAUACCGCAUAAGAGUAGAUGUCGCAUGACAUUUGCUUAAAAGGUGCAACUGCACCACUACCAGAUGGACCUGCGUUGUAUUAGCUAGUUGGUGAGGUAACGGCUCACCAAGGCAACGAUACAUAGCCGACCUGAGAGGGUGAUCGGCCACACUGGGACUGAGACACGGCCCAGACGCCUACGGGAGGCAGCAGUAGGGAAUCUUCGGCAAUGGACGGAAGUCUGACCGAGCAACGCCGAGUGAGUGAAGAAGGUUGUCGGAUCGUAAAGCUCUGUUGUAAGAGAAGAACGAGUGUGAGAGUGGAAAGUUCACACUGUGACGGUAUCUUACCAGAAAGGGACGGCUAACUACGUG
This 495-nucleotide ribosomal RNA is filed under the name uncultured bacterium. RNAcentral describes it as "partial 16S ribosomal RNA". It matches the Rfam family "Bacterial small subunit ribosomal RNA", at positions 28 to 507 of the family's 1533-position model. The record is from RNAcentral.